AAAACAACUUUUAACAACGGAUCUCUAGGCUCUCGCAUCGAUGAAGAACGUAGCAAAUUGCGAUAACUAUUGUGAAUUGCAUUUCGUGAAUCAUCAAGUUUUUGAACGCAUCUUGCACUCUGUGGUAUUCCGCAGAGUACACUUGUUUCAGU
Molecule: ribosomal RNA, 152 nt
Filed under: Pilobolus roridus
Lineage: Eukaryota; Fungi; Mucoromycota; Mucoromycetes; Mucorales; Pilobolaceae
Description: 5.8S ribosomal RNA
Rfam family: 5.8S ribosomal RNA
About the family: 5.8S ribosomal RNA (5.8S rRNA) is a component of the large subunit of the eukaryotic ribosome. It is transcribed by RNA polymerase I as part of the 45S precursor that also contains 18S and 28S rRNA.
Source: RNAcentral